CAAGGGAUGCAAAAGACUAAUGAAACCAAACGUCUCGAGCAGUUUUUUGUGGGGUGGAAAAGAAGUUGCCUCGAUUAGUUCAGCCACUUGUCUCUAUAUAAUGGCAUUAAUACGCAAACCUGUACAGGAGGAACCUGAGGAACUCUCCGAUAGUGACUUUGAAAGUCCUGUGGGCUGGAGAAGGAGAGCCCUGUUUAUCUGGAGGAAGAUGAGGCUCUUGAAGAGGCAAUUCAGCGUAGUCUACUAGAAGAGUGUGUAGGACCUGCUGUUAAUACUUUAAAGUCAUCUGAAAUGCUGAGCAAAGAAGAAAUUGCAGGCCUUCUACAAGCUCACAGUGAGAGAGUUAUUACAUUGGGAACAAGACCGAUCUAUAUCAGUCGAACCAAUGUUUGGACCACAGCCUUACUUGUGUUUAAGAGACCCAGUUUUGCAGAAAGCUGUGACACGCUCUAUGUCACAUUUGCAAGCGAUGAACAUGAUGCUGUGGAAGAUGCUGCUGACCUUGGGGGUCCCAGACGAGAGUUUUUCCGCUUACUGAUGAAGGCUAUCUUCCAGGACAGUGGAGUUUUUGA
Molecule: long non-coding RNA, 572 nt
Organism: Sander lucioperca (pikeperch)
Lineage: Eukaryota; Metazoa; Chordata; Actinopteri; Perciformes; Percidae
Exons: 4
Source: RefSeq, a predicted model, not a curated record